This 414-nucleotide ribosomal RNA is filed under the name uncultured bacterium. RNAcentral describes it as "bacterial SSU rRNA". It matches the Rfam family "Bacterial small subunit ribosomal RNA", at positions 355 to 787 of the family's 1533-position model. The record is from RNAcentral.
UGGGGAAUAUUGCACAAUGGGGAAGCCCUGAUGCAGCGACGCCGCGUGAAGGAUGAAGUAUUUCGGUAUGUAAACUUCUAUCAGCAGGGAAGAAAAUGACGGUACCUGAGUAAGAAGCCCCGGCUAACUACGUGCCAGCAGCCGUGGUAAUACGUAGGGGGCAAGCGUUAUCCGGAUUUACUGGGUGUAAAGGGAGCGUAGACGGAUCUGCAAGUCUGGAGUGAAAGCCCGGGGCUCAACCCCGGGACUGCUUUGGAAACUGUAGGUCUAGAGUGCCGGAGAGGUAAGCGGAAUUCCUAGUGUAGCGGUGAAAUGCGUAGAUAUUAGGAGGAACACCAGUGGCGAAGGCGGCUUACUGGACGGUAACUGACGUUGAGGCUCGAAAGCGUGGGGAGCAAACAGGAUUAGAUACCC